UACGAAGGGGGCUAGCGUUGUUCGGAAUUACUGGGCGUAAAGCGCACGUAGGCGGCUUUCUAAGUCGGGGGUGAAAUCCUGGAGCUCAACUCCAGAACUGCCUUCGAUACUGGAAAGCUCGAGUCCGGGAGAGGUGAGUGGAACUGCGAGUGUAGAGGUGAAAUUCGUAGAUAUUCGCAAGAACACCAGUGGCGAAGGCGGCUCACUGGCCCGGUACUGACGCUGAGGUGCGAAAGCGUGGGGGAGCAAACAGG
This 254-nucleotide ribosomal RNA is filed under the name uncultured bacterium. Its description in RNAcentral is "partial 16S ribosomal RNA". It matches the Rfam family "Bacterial small subunit ribosomal RNA", at positions 524 to 776 of the family's 1533-position model. The record is from RNAcentral.